RNAcentral lists this long non-coding RNA (10188 nucleotides) under Triticum aestivum (bread wheat). RNAcentral's name for it is "long non-coding RNA (TAES_LNC004426)". Lineage: Eukaryota; Viridiplantae; Streptophyta; Magnoliopsida; Poales; Poaceae. The record is from RNAcentral.
UCGUCCAGGAGCUCCACGAGGAGAGGAGCUCCUCUUCGUUGUCCCAGCAGCAGUCGUGCCCCGCGCCCCUUGCUUCCCGCCGGCGAGCAUCAUCACGCCCCGGUCGCGUGCCCCUGCCUCUCUCUCCAUCUUCCUCCCUCCGCUGAUCUCUCUCCCUCUCAAAUAUGUCUCAUUUCUUUUUUCGGGAGAGCCUUCAUGGAAGCCCGAGCUCCGCCCGGAGCAGCUUGACGGGUGCCGUCGUCGAGCCCCUAGCGACCCCACCGACCUGAUCCACCAAGCCGCCGUCCCAAUCCGCCUUCGCUGCAGAGGCCGCCGUCGCCUGAGCCCCUGCAAGCCGCACUGCCUCCUUCUGUCGGGGGCAGGCAGAGGAAGCCGCCCCUGUUUGUUGACCUCCACGCCCGCGUGGGCCUCUCCAGCCGCAGCGCCUCAAGGCCCAGCUCGCCCCGGCCCAGUGGCCACGCUGAUGAGCGCCCGCCUGCAAACCCUCGCGCCAGGGCGCUGUUGAAUAUGUCGCGCCCACUGUUUCGUCCCGUAUAGUUUUUUCCCAGUUCUGCGAAUUAGGCUAUUUAUCCAUUAGAUUUACAGAUUUGCAUAACAGUCCUCCAUGUUCAUGCAUAUAAAAACUCAACAACCAUGCCUUGGAAUUAAACAUUUCAUAUAUGUAGAAUGCUUAGAAUUUCAUCUAGUUUCAUAAUAUGCAACUUUCAUCCAUGAUAAAAAUGUUUAAAAUAAUUUUUACAUUUGUUUUGCAUAAAUAACAUGCUAAAAUGGUUUAUUUCAUAACUAAAUAACUGUAGCUCCGAAUUAAGUAAACUAUAUAUGUAAAUUGUCUAGAAAAAUGCAUAGAUUAACAUGGUGGCAUUACUUUGCAUGUCUAACAACAAUAAGAUUGUGUUUAGAUCAGAACAGUAUUAAAUUCGAAAAUUGCAUAUAGGGAUUUCUCGGAAUUGUUGUUUGUUAUUUCUGGCCUCAUUUAAAUUUGCCUAAAUAGUUAGUUUACUUAUGCUUCACCUCUUGCCAUGUUAACCAACAUUUAAUUUUAAUUAGUAGCAUAAACGGGAGCGAACUAAAUAUUUGAAUGUGGUGUUUCGUCAAUAUGCAAAUUGAGCUCCACUUAAUUUGUAGUAUUGUUUUUUGCACUUUGCCAUGCCAUGACUCAUUAAAUCGGACAUGCAUCAUACUUGGUUGCACAUCAUGUCAUGUUUAUGCUUGUUGGUUUACCAUGUUGUUUGCUUCUUUCCGGUUGUGUUUCUUCUCGAUAGUUCCAGUUACGUUGCGAUUGUGAGGAUUCGUUCGACUAUGUUGUUUCAUCUACUUCAUGGAUUCGGUCUUCUUCCUAGCGGGAUUUCAGGCAAGAUGAUCAUUAUCCUGGAUACCACUACUAUCUUUGCUUUGCUAGUUGUCUCGUUGCUAUCGCUAUGUUGCGCUACCUACCACUUGUUUAUCAAGCCUCCCAAUAUGUCAUGAUAAGCCUCUAACCUUUUUCACCAUCCCAGCAAACCGUUGUUUGGCUAUUUUACCACUUUGCUCAGCCCCUCUUGUAGUGUUGAUAGUUGCAGGUGCAAUUUCAGGUUGUUCCAUGUUGGGACAUGGAUAUCAUGGGAUAUCACAAUAUCUCUUAUUUAAUUAAUGCAUCUAUAUACUUAGUAAAGGGUAGAAGGCUCGGCCUUUUCCUGGUGUUUUGUUCCACUCUUGCCGCCCUAGUUUCCGUCAUACCGAUGUUAUGUUCCUUGAUUUUGUGUUCCUAACACGGUCGGGGUUUAUGGGCCCCUCUUGACAGUUCGCUUUGAACAAAUCUCUUCCAGCAAGGGGGGCCCAUAAACCAAAGUGUCCCGGGGAGUUGAGCUCCAAGGUGUUUUCGUCACAGUGCUUAUAGUUUCAGUUCCGGAAUACCAGAGGACACCGACAUCGAAAACGCUACUAUACUCUUUGUGGUGAGAGUAGUUUGGCGCCACCCAGUACUGGGGAGAGCGAUCAGAUGUAUUGCCAUAGCUAGUAUAGCUGCUGUCCUUCAAAGGUCUGAGGUACACAAUUUCUGAGGUUCUUGGUUUUGUGUUGAUGGAGGCAGUACAUUUGGAGCAUAGAAUUCUGCUAGGAGUUGUGUGAUGAUAUUUUGCUUCUUGUACUUGUAGUACCGGAUUGCAUAACCAAAAAUUUCAGGAGCUCAUAGGUGGGAAUUCAAGUAGUUACCUAGAAUUAUCCUUCCAACAAAUGCAUGACGGGGUUAUGUAUUUGUUUCCGGCUUAUUUUGCAGCCCAAUCCUUUGUUUUUUUUUUGGUUGUGGUAUUCGAGUUGCUUCGAAGUCGAGUGUUGAUUCCAUACCUUUUCCUAAGCGGUGUUCUCAUAUUUCUAUGGGAGUGCUAAUCCUUCUUGAUCAUCGAGAUUGUCAUGUCAAUCCUUUUCGACCGGUUCACUUCUCUUCAAGUUAUUCCAUACGGGCGCCAUUGAGAAGCCUGAGGAUUCAUUAAUUUCAUCCGUCCCAAGUUGCAUUUGUUUUUUUUUCACCAUCCCUUCCUUUUCUUCAAGGACUCAGAUUUCUUAAUCAAGUAUCCAUUUUAUUGAUGUGAAGUCUCUUCAUUAUUUUCCAUCAAUGUUCUAAUCCGGUGAUUCUCAUGAAGAUGCUAAUGAAGUUUCAAGUUAAUCAUUCUUUCAUUCUUGCUUUUUCCAGAAGAUUCAAUUCAAGCUUUCAUUGUUGAUCAUAUCCCUUUGAUUCAAAUGCUUUCCAUGUUGGAAUUUCUUAUGCAAGGCUCUCUUAUUUAUUCACCUCUCUCUAUUCAUAUCCAGAGUGCUGAAGAUAUAUCAGAAGAUUCGGGUUUCCAUUCCUAAUCCGUUCAAGCUAGUUCGAGUUUGUUAUCUCAUUCAAGCCAUUUAAAUCAACUGGUGCAAUCUCUCUUUCAAGCAAUCAUUUCCAACGGUGUUUUCUUUUGAGUGGCCCUAACCCAGACGUCUUUUCCUAGGAUCUUACCUGACUCUUCUAAUUUUUUCCAGAGUGAUUCUCAAAUUCUUUUCCAAGUUUGACGAAAGAAUGAAUUUCAUCAGUCAAAUGCCUUCUCCAAGAUCGUUUUCAAAUUAUUUUCACCUUUGGCUCAACCUUUAUAUUCUUCAUUCUUCCGGAGAAUCUCACAAAUUUUUCAUGGUGGUUCUCGUCGUCAUUCUCAACAUUUGAAGAUCGAAGAAGAGUUUCUCUUAAAUCUUUGUCCUUUCUCUCGAAGAUUCAUAGUUCAAGCUAGAUGCCAUCCUCUCAAAUUCUUUCCAAUCGUGACAAUUCUUUUCAUACCCAUCUCAAGCAUUUCAGUAGAUUCUUUCCUUUCUCGAUCAUCCGAAUGCCAUCAUUUCAGAAGAUUUAUUCAUUCUCAACAUUCAGCUCUCAUUCCCCAAUUCUUUUGGUGCAUCAUUCAAGUAUUCUCUAGUCAGCUCAUGAUCUCUUCGUCUCUUGCAUCUAAAUUCCCUCAAGUAUCUUCAUUUGUUUUCUAAAUUCUUCCCAGUGAUUCGUUCACUUUUUUUCAAUGUUUUCAAUUAUUUUCUUCCGGAGUUCGUUCAUGGUAUCAAUUUCUUGGUUCUAAGUUUUUCAUCUUUUCUUUUCCGGAGUUUCAAGUUUUCUCGGUUGUCUCGUCUUGAAGCUCUAAUUCAUUGCAAGACUCCAAUCUUAUUCUUUUCAACCGUCAUUUCUUUUCUAGUAUCCUUUUAGUCUGGAGUUCUUCCAAGAGGUUAUACGUGGUGGUUCAUCAAGAUUUAAUGUUUUCUCGAAGUGUUCUUCAAGAUUUUGUUGGGGGAGCUCAAGUAUACUUCUUCAUGAAUUUUGAAGUGCAAUUCUUCUACCUUAUCCUGAGGUGGUCUUAUGUCAUUUCUUGACAAUUUCCCUUCGUGUUUCAUGAUUCACAUGCUGUCAAGAAUGAGGUAUUUUAAACCCAUCAAUCUCUUCAUUGGAGUUAUCUUGGUAUAGAUUUCACCUAAAGCCUCCCCUAAGGAAUGUUGCUAAUUAUGGUGCCUAUCGAUAAUCCAAGUUCUCUCCUAUUCUCUCGGUGGAGGAAGUUAUCAUCUCUUCGUUGCUCUCAAGCAAUCAAUUGUUUUCGUUAGUGGCAGAAUAUCAUCUCUACUUUUGAGAUGUUUCCAUAAGCCCACGAGGAGCAUAUCAUUUCAUUGUUGAUUUUUUUCAAGAACUCCAUUCAAGCCUUUCUCCUAAGGAUGCUCUUUCAAAUUCAUUUGUGGUAGAAGUUGUUGUUCUCUUCUCCGUUCUUUUCAUUCCACUCUUUCAUUAGUUCCGGAGGAAUUGUGUUGUUGCUCUCGUCAAAUAUCAUCCCAUCUUGUCAGGUUCAUGUUCUAUUUCUUGCAUCUCUUUUCAACCGGAGUGCUGCCCUAAUUCUUCCUUCCACAUCUUGUUUCAACCGGAGUGGUUUCAAAGUAUAUCGUCUUCCUUAAGCUCUUGGUUCUUGUCGUAUUCCUUGUUCCUCUUAUCUAAUGGAGUGUUUCAAUUUCUUUCAUCUUCGUCAUGUCAUUUCUUCAAGUUUUGUACCUCUCAAGGUUUGUUGGUUUCACUCGUUUGUCAAAGAAGCAACUUAGUAUUACCUCUUCUCUCUGUUUCAUUCUUAGAUCUCGGGGCGAGAUCUCUUGUAAGUGGGGGAGAGUUGUAACGACCCGAGACCAACGCUCCAGAUGCCUUCCAUAUAUUCUGUUGUCGUCGUGUGUUUUAAUCAUUUGUUGCAUUCAUCAUCACAUCAUGCGCAUUGCAUCUGCAUGUUUUCAUAAAGCUUGCUUCCGUUCGUAGUUGCCGCGUCCCCCCUUGCCUUCGUUGACCGUUCCGAGACCAACCGGGUUUUUUGAGUCCCUCUUGUCUGGCCGCAUAAUCUCUCUGCACAGUGCACAGACCCACUCGCAACCAAGUUCGAAACUUCCCCGAACCCGAACCGGGUUGUCGUGACCGAUGGCUCCGGAUCAUCCCCAAACAUCCCUAAAACAUCUUCGGUUCAUUGUUUAGACUUCCUAACCCAUUUAUUCCGGGCCGUCCGAUUACGAUCGGAGGGACCGAAUAGCCCCUAAGCUAAUCCACCUGCUAUAUAACCAGACCAAACCCUAAAAUCUUGGGAGAUAUCUCAUCCAUCUCGUCUCGUCGCCGCCAGCCAACUACCCACUCUUCUCCCACCUCGGGAUCCAUCACUCACCAACCAUCGCUCGCCACCUACAGCCUCCAGAUCCCCUCGCCCUCCUCUCUGCUCGAGGCCCUUGCCGACGACAGGAGCUUCACCCCCACCGGCCAGCCUCCUCCACGCCACCAGAUCAGAGCCCCGUGCUCCCCACCACCUCAUCCUCGCAAGCACUGCCACCAGGGCGCCACCUCACUGGCCUCUAUCGCUCCUCCCGUGCGCCUGCACCAGACCUCGGCCCCGCGCCCUCGUCUGCUCCGUUGAGCCUCUCCACUGCCGGCGACCACCAGCACCUCCCAGAACUGCCCCGUGCCCGUGCUACCACAUACCCCUCGUCCAGGAGCUCCACGAGAAGAGGAGCUCCUCUUUGUUGUCCCAGCAGCAGUCGUGCCCCGCGCCCCUUGCUUCCCGCCGGCGAGCAUCAUCAUGCCCCGGUAGCGUGCCCCUGCCUCUUUCUCCAUCUUCCUCCCUCCCCUGAUCUCUCUUCCUCUCACAUCUAUCUCAUUUCUUUUUACGGCAGAGCCUCCAUGGAAGCUCGAGCUCCGCCUGGAGCAACUUGAAGGGUGCCGUCGUCGAGCCCCUACAUCACCUGAGCGACCCCGUCGAUCGGAUCCACCAGGUCGCCGUCCUGAUCCGCCUUCGCUGCACAGGCCGCCGUCGCCUGAGCUCCUGCAAGCCGCACUGCCUCCUUCUGACGGGGGCAGGCACAGGGAGUCGCCCCUGUUCGUUGACCUCCACUUCCGCGUGGGCCUCUCCAGCCGCAGCACCUCAAGGCCCAGCUCGCCCCGGCCCAGUGGCCACGCUGGUGAGCGCCCGCCUGCAAACCCUCGCCCCUGGGCGCUGUUGAAUAUGUCGCGCCCACUGUUUCAGCCCGUAAAGUUUUUUCCCAGUUCUGAGAAUUUAGCUAUUUAUCCAGAGAUUUGCCGAUUUGCAAAAAAGUCCUCCAUGUUCAUGCAUGUAAAAACUCAACAACCGUGCAUCGGAAUUAAACAUGGCGUAUAUGUAAAAUGCUUUGAAUUUCAUCUAGUUUCAUAAUAUGCAACUUUCAUCCAUGAUAAAAAUGUUUAAAAUAAUGUUUACAUUUGUCUUGCAUAAAUAACAUGCUAAAAUGGUUUAUUUCAUAACUAAAUAACCGUAGCUCCGAAUUAAGUAAACUAUAUAUGUAAAUUGUCUAGAAAAAUGCAUAGAUUAACAUGGUUGCAUUACUUUGCAUGUCUAACAACAAUAAAAGUGUGUUUAGAUCAGAACAGUACCAAAUUCGAAAAUUGCAUAUGGGGAUCUCUAGGAAUUGUUGUUUGUUAUUUCCGGCCUCAGUUAAACUUGCCUAAAUAGUUAGUUUACUUAUGCUUCACCUCUUGCCAUGUUAACCAACAUUUAAUUUUGAUUAGUAGCAUAAACGGGAGCGAACUAAAUAUUUGAAUGUGGUGUUUCAUCAAUAAGCAACUCGUUGCAUAUUGAGCUCCACUUAAUUUGUAGUAUUGUUUGUUGCACUUUGCGAUGCCAUAAUUCAUUAAAUCGUACAUGCAUCAUACUUGGUUGCACAUCAUGCCAUGUUUAUGCUUGUUGGUUAACCAUGUUGUUUGCUUCUUUCCGGUCGUGCUUCUACUCGAUAGUUUCGGUUACGUUGCGAUUGUGACGAUUUAUUCGACUACGUUGGUUCGUCUACUUCAUGGAUUCGGUCUUCUUCCUAGCGGGAUUUCAGGCAAGAUGAUCAUUAUCAUGGAUACCACUACUAUCUUUGCUUUGCUAGUUGUCUCGAUGUUAUCGCUAUGUGACGCUACCUACCACUUGUUUAUCAAGCCUCCCAAUAUGCCAUGAUAAGCCUCUAACCAUUUCCACCAUCCCAACAAACUGUUGUUUGGCUAUGUUCCGCUUUGCUCAGCCCCUCUUAUAGCGUUGAUAGUUGCAGGUGCAGUUUUAGGUUGUUCCAUGUUGGGACAUGGAUAUCAUGGGAUGUCAUAGUAUCUCUUAUUUUAAUUAAUGCAUCUAUAUACUUGGUAAAGGGUAUAAGGCUCGGCCUUUUGCCUGGUGUUUUAUUCCACUCUUGCUGCCCUAGUUUCUGUCAUACCGAUGUUAUGUUCCUUGAUUUUGCGUUCCUAACACGAUCGGGGUUUAUGGGCCCCCCUUGACAGUUCGCUUUGAAUAAAAAUCUUCCAGCAAGGCCCAACAUUGGUUUUACAUUUGCGUAAUAACAACUAAAACUGGCAUAGGGACUUCCCGGGCACUGAGGAUAAUUAAUCAACAACCCGUGCCAAUGCUCCUCAUGAGUGUUGGUCCAAACUGGCAGUAGCCGGGGCCACCAACGGGUGUACUAUAUUUCUCUCUCAAGUAUAUUGCUAGUCCCUCUUAUGUCACAAAUUAAUCUUGCAACGGCCACCUUUGGGAGAUCACGGCGUACAAAUUAGUGACUAUAAUAUACCAUGAAUUAUUAGCAACAAAAAUCAAUUUGCUCUAUAAAUAUUUGACCGUAAAAUGCUAGGCCACCUUGGUGACAAACAAGCAUGCUCUCCAAUAAAUAUUUAUUCGGCAAGAAUAUGAUCAUCUAUGGAACGCAAUGCCAUAAUGCGAGCAAUGAUCAAAAUUAAAGAAUGGCAACAAGUCUUGUUCCGUAGGAUGAGAAAAAGAAUAGAUCGACAGAAUAACGGAUCAAAAUCUCGACUUUAAUGUGAAUCAGAAGUGUUGCAACAACAAGGCUCUGAUACCAAAUGUAAGCGAAAAUUUCUUUAAAUGCGGAAGAUUAGCAAUACAAAUGAUUCAACAAAACAUGCAUGAGAUUUUUCCGUUCAUGAUCCGAGUGUACCUUGCUCCAUCACGAGACCUUUCGAAGUCGAUUCCACCGUUGUCGAACGUUCUUCUUUUCUCUACUUCUUUACUUCACAAGUUCCUCAGAUGGAUGAAGAACCAAACGUUUCAGCAUGUGUGUAUAUGCAUUCUUUACUUGUGUCGUCUAAAACGGCAGCGCUUCCGCGAGCACUAGAUGCAGAGAGCGUCACCAUAAUGAAGUACUGCGAUAAGGGCAGAGGCAACGUCCAUUUAUAUGAUUCGUACGGAUGCGUCGUCGCUUCGAACGGAUGCGUCGUUUGCUGAAGCCGUUUCCGUCCCAACUGUACACAUGCAAACGCAUGUUGUGAGACGCGUCUUCAACCAGUCGCAACCCAACGAAAGGACGUGGCCCCAUUCGCACAUGCAUGCUAAUUAGCCUUGUGCUAAUUACGCCACUGCCUCUGAUCCAUGUACCUGCACCUGAUUGGCUAAUUCAUGCACUCACGGAUAUAUUAAUCCAUGUACUUGCACCGGUACUUAGCCAUCACCAGGCACUUGACUGAAUAUAACAAAGCUAGCUAGCUUCAUAUACAUGUAUCCAUCUAGCUUUGACAUACACAUACACACACACCUAUACGUGUGUGAAACUUAUAGAGAGAGAUAAGAGGGAAUUAAAACCCAGACUUUAAUCUAUUAUUUCUAGCAACGAUCAUACUAGAACUCUUAAUUAAAAUCUCACUAUAAUUUACAUUGGCCACAUAAAAUAUUCUUACAUUUCCACCAUCCCAACAAACUGUUGUUUGGCUAUGUUACCGCUUUGCUCAGCCCCUCUUAUAGCGUUGAUAGUUGCAGGUGCAGUUUCAGGUUGUUCCAUGUUGGGACAUGGAUAUCAUGGGAUGUCAUAGUAUCUCUUAUUUUAAUUAAUGCAUCUAUAUACUUGGUAAAGGGUAUAAGGCUCGGCCUUUUGCCUGCUGUUUUAUUCCACUCUUGUCGCCCUAGUUUCUGUCAUACCGGUGUUAUGUUCCUUGAUUUUACGUUCCUAACACGAUCGGGGUUUAUGGGCCCCCCUUGACAGUUUGCUUUGAAUAAAACUCUUUCAGCAAGGCCCAACAUUGGUUUUACCAUUUGCGUAAUAACAACUAAAACUGGCAUAGGGACUUCCCGGGCACCGAGGAUAAUAAAUCAACAACCCGUGCCAAUGCUCCUCAUGAGUGUUGGUCCAAACUGGCAGUAGCCGAGGCCACCAACGGGUGUGCCAGCCAGAAAAUUAGCCAAUCCGACCGUGGCCUGAGACGAGAUACGCGCGGCUACUAUCAGGGUGUCAGCACGUCAGGAGGUCUUGCUGGUUUUGUUUUACCAUUGUCGAAAUUUCUUGUGAACCAGGAUUCCGAGCUUGAUUGGGUUGUUCCGGAAUGGAGGAUUUUCCUCCGCAGAUCAUGAGAGUUUGUGAUGGACUAAGUUGGGACACCCCUACAGGGUUUAAUCUUUUCGAGAGUCGUGCCCACGGUUAUGUGGCAGAUAGGAAUUGAUAAUAUUCGUUUAUAGAGAACUUGACACUAGAUCCAAAUUAAAAUACACCAACUGCGUGUGUAACUGUGACCGUCUCUUUCCAAGGGAGUUCGGGAAGAGAACAUGGUGGGGUUAUGAUUGACUCGUCAGUAGUUUAGGAUCACUUAUUGAUCAUUAAUAGUUGUGACCGUUAUGCGUAGAAACUCUUCUUACUCUUGUACUCGUAAGUUAGCCACCAUAUAAUGCUUAUUGCUUGCUGCAACCUCACCACUUAUCCAUUCCAUACCCAUUAAGGUUUGCUAGACUUGAUACCCAUGGUAAUGGGAUUGUUGAGUCCUCGUGGCUCACAGAUUACUACAACAACAGUUGCAGGUACAGGAAAUGCGAUGUUAUGACGUGAGAGCGAUGCUUGCUUGAUUUGGAGUUCUUGUGCUUCUUCUUCUUCGAUCAAGGGAUAGGUACUGGGUCGGGAGCCUGGGAUUAGCAGGGUGGAUGCCGUUCUUCUUUUUCGUUUAAUUUCAUCCGUAGUCGGAUCCUGCUCUUCUGUAUGAUGAUUGCUAUUUUUUGAUGUACUAUUGUAUUCAUGUUGUAGCUUGUGGUGAGUGUAAGCCUUUAUCUUGUAUUCUCAUCUAUUCAGUACAUGGUAUGUUGUAAUGAUAUCCACCUUGCUAUGAGCUCGAAAUGCGGUUGUGCCCCAAUCAUGAGUGCAUCAUGUGAUUGCGAUAGAAUCGCAUCUUGGGCGCUGCACCUAGCACACCCAGACCAAUUGCUUAGC